CCGAGUGAGGGCCCUCUGGGUCCAACCUCCCACCCAUGUUUAUUGUACCUUGUUGCUUCGGCGAGCCCGCCUCACGGCCGCCGGGGGGCUUCUGCCCUCUGGCCCGCGCCCGCCGAAGACACCAUUGAACACUGUCUGAAGAUUGCAGUCUGAGCAAUUAGCUAAAUAAGUUA
Molecule: unclassified non-coding RNA, 173 nt
Filed under: uncultured Penicillium
Lineage: Eukaryota; Fungi; Ascomycota; Eurotiomycetes; Eurotiales; Aspergillaceae
Description: sequence contains ITS1
Source: RNAcentral